RNAcentral lists this ribosomal RNA (459 nucleotides) under uncultured bacterium. RNAcentral describes it as "partial 16S ribosomal RNA". It matches the Rfam family "Bacterial small subunit ribosomal RNA", at positions 338 to 795 of the family's 1533-position model. The record is from RNAcentral.
CCUACGUGAGACAGCAGUGAGGAAUAUUGGUCAAUGGGCGCGAGCCUGAACCAGCCAAGUCGCGUGAGGGAAGACGGUCCUAUGGAUUGUAAACCUCUUUUGUCGGGGAGCAAAGGACGCCACGCGUGGCGUUCCGAGAGUACCCGAAGAAAAAGCAUCGGCUAACUCCGUGCCAGCAGCCGCGGUAAUACGGGGGAUGCGAGCGUUAUCCGGAUUUAUUGGGUUUAAAGGGUGCGUAGGCGGUAGAUGAAGUCAGCGGUAAAAUUGCGAGGCUCAACCUGUCCGAGCCGUUGAAACUGGUGGUCUUGAGUGAGUGAGAGGUAUGUGGAAUGCGUGGUGUAGCGGUGAAAUGCAUAGAUAUCACGCAGAACUCCGAUUGCGAAGGCAGCAUACCGGCGCUCAACUGACGCUGAGGCACGAAAGUGUGGGUAUCGAACAGGAUUAGAUACCCGAGUAGUC